Molecule: unclassified non-coding RNA, 338 nt
Filed under: soil metagenome
Description: partial contains 5.8S ribosomal RNA, internal transcribed spacer 2, and large subunit ribosomal RNA
Rfam family: 5.8S ribosomal RNA (bases 1-120)
Source: RNAcentral
GAUGAAGAACGCAGCGAAAUGCGAUACGUAGUGUGAAUUGCAGAAUUCAGUGAAUCAUCGAAUCUUUGAACGCACAUUGCACCUCUCGGUAUUCCGGGAGGUAUGCCUGUUCGAGCGUCAUUUGUACCCUCAAGCUCUGCUUGGUGUUGGGUGUUUGUUCCGCCUCUGUGUGUGAACUCGCCUCAAAACAAUUGGCAGCCGGCGUACUUGUUUCGGAGCGCAGCACAUUUUGCGAUCCAGAUCAACGUACAGCGGCAUCCAAGAAGCCUUAUUUAACGCUCUUGACCUCGGAUCAGGUAGGGAUACCCGCUGAACUUAAGCAUAUCAAUAAGCGGAGG